AGGGAGUCGUAUAAUGAAGUACACAAAGUUUUGGGCUUUGUAGUUUGGAUUCGCGAUCUAACUUUCUA
This 68-nucleotide transfer RNA is filed under the name Aeluroscalabotes felinus. RNAcentral's name for it is "tRNA-Gln". Lineage: Eukaryota; Metazoa; Chordata; Lepidosauria; Squamata; Eublepharidae. The record is from RNAcentral.